Molecule: ribosomal RNA, 468 nt
Filed under: uncultured bacterium
Lineage: Bacteria
Description: partial 16S ribosomal RNA
Rfam family: Bacterial small subunit ribosomal RNA
Source: RNAcentral
GACGAACGCUGGCGGCGUGCCUAACACAUGCAAGUCGAACGGAAAGGCCCUGCUUUUGUUGGGUGGUCGAGUGGCGAACGGGUGGGUAAAACGCGAGGAAACCGCCCCUGAAUUUGGGGUAACAUUAGGGAACUGGGGCUAAUAUCCGGUAGGAGCUCCUGCUGCAUGGUGGGGGGUGGAAAGUUUCGGCGGUUGGGGAUGGACUCGCGGCUUAUCAGCUUGUUGGUGGGGUAGUGGCUUACCAAGGCUUUGACGGGUAGCCGGCCUGAGAGGGUGACCGGCCACAUUGGGACUGAGAUACGGCCCAGACUCCUACGGGAGGCAGCAGUGGGGAAUAUUGCACAAUGGGCGGAAGCCUGAUGCAGCAACGCCGCGUGCGGGAUGACGGCCUUCGGGUUGUAAACCGCUUUCGCCUGUGACGAAGCGUGAGUGACGGUAAUGGGUAAAGAAGCACCGGCUAACUACGUG